GUUAAUGCCUAGCUACAGCAGUAAAGAUAAUGUGCGCAUAGAAGAUGCGGGAGCUUUUUUGUGGUCACAUAAAUUGCUAAAAAUAACAGCCAAAUUUCGAAUAAACCACACCCAAUAGUAUUAAAUAAAGGACACAUAAGAUCUGCUACUAUCUACCGAACCUUCACAAAGGAGAAUAGAGGGAGACAGGAAAAAGGAAAUUGUCCUACUUAUUUGAAGACUAUGAAAAUAUCUGCAAAACAUUUAAUUUAAUUUUUUCUUCGAUUUAAUUGAUUUUUCUUGUUUUACUCUUUGCUGAAAAAGUUGAAAAGACCGAAACCGGUACUAUAUGUAUUUCAUGAUAAAAUUAUUUUAGCGUUUUCUA
Long non-coding RNA from Octopus bimaculoides (California two-spot octopus), 364 nucleotides. RefSeq lists it as uncharacterized. The record is from RefSeq and is a predicted model, not a curated record. NCBI's taxonomy places the organism in Eukaryota, Metazoa, Mollusca, Cephalopoda, Octopoda, Octopodidae.